Molecule: ribosomal RNA, 468 nt
Filed under: uncultured bacterium
Lineage: Bacteria
Description: partial 16S ribosomal RNA
Rfam family: Bacterial small subunit ribosomal RNA
Source: RNAcentral
GACGAACGCUGGCGGCGUGCUUAACACAUGCAAGUCGAACGGAAAGGCCCUGCUUUUGUGGGGUGCUCGAGUGGCGAACGGGUGAGUAACACGUGAGUAACCUGCCCUUGACUUUGGGAUAACUUCAGGAAACUGGGGCUAAUACCGGAUAGGAGCUCCUGCUGCAUGGUGGGGGUUGGAAGGUUUCGGCGGUUGGGGAUGGACUCGCGGCUUAUCAGCUUGUUGGUGGGGUGGUGGCUUACCAAGGCUUUGACGGGUAGCCGGCCUGAGAGGGUGACCGGCCACAUUGGGACUGAGAUGCGGCCCAGACUCCUACGGGAGGCAGAAGUGGGGAAUAUUGCACAAUGGGCGGAAGCCUGAUGCAGCAACGCCGCGUGCGGGAUGACGGCCUUCGGGUUGUAAACCGCUUUCGCCUGUGACGAAGCGUGAGUGACGGUAAUGGGUAAAGAAGCACCGGCUAACUACGUG